Molecule: ribosomal RNA, 252 nt
Filed under: uncultured bacterium
Lineage: Bacteria
Description: partial 16S ribosomal RNA
Rfam family: Bacterial small subunit ribosomal RNA
Source: RNAcentral
GAUUAACGCUAGCGGCAGGCCUAAUACAUGCAAGUCGAACGGUAGUAGUAGCAAUACUAUGAGAGUGGCGCACGGGUGAGUAACGCGUAUGCAACCUGCCUAUAUCUGGGGGAUAGCUCAGAGAAAUCUGAAUUAAUACCGCAUAACAUCACUGAAUGGCAUCAUUUGGUGAUCAAAACUCCGGUGGAUAUAGAUGGGGCAGCGUGACAUUAGCUAGUUGGUAAGGUAAUGGCUUACCAAGGCUACGAUGUC